CAGCUCGAGUUUCUCUUCAUUGUCGGUUAUAUCUUUGGCCUUUUUACUAACGAUUUCCGUGGAGGGGAGCUUUUGCGAGUGACCUGCAUUUUUUUGGGGGCUCUGCUCACAGCAGAGCU
This is a small nuclear RNA of Cyprinus carpio carpio, 119 nucleotides long. Its record names the gene U5. It matches the Rfam family "U5 spliceosomal RNA". From Rfam's summary of the family: U5 RNA is a component of both types of known spliceosome. The precise function of this molecule is unknown, though it is known that the 5' loop is required for splice site selection and p220 binding, and that both the 3' stem-loop and the Sm site are important for Sm protein binding and cap methylation. Lineage: Eukaryota; Metazoa; Chordata; Actinopteri; Cypriniformes; Cyprinidae. The record is from Ensembl.